RNAcentral lists this ribosomal RNA (459 nucleotides) under uncultured bacterium. RNAcentral describes it as "partial 16S ribosomal RNA". It matches the Rfam family "Bacterial small subunit ribosomal RNA", at positions 338 to 795 of the family's 1533-position model. The record is from RNAcentral.
CCUACGGGUGGCUGCAGUGAGGAAUAUUGGUCAAUGGUCGGGAGACUGAACCAGCCAAGCCGCGUGAGGGAUGAAGGUACAGAGUAUCGUAAACCUCUUUUGUCAGGGAACAAAGGCGGGGACGUGUCCACGGAUGAGUGUACCUGAAGAAAAAGCAUCGGCUAACGCGGUGCAAGCAGCCGCGGUAAUACGGAGGAUGCGAUCGUUAUGCGGAUUGUUUGGGUUAAAAGGGGGUGCAGGCGGUCUGUUAAGUCAGCGGUCAAAGCCCGGGGCACAACCCGGGCCCGCCGUUGAAACUGGUAGUCUCGAGUUGGAGAGAGGUAUGCGGAAUGCGCGGUGUAGCGGUGAAAUGCGUAGAUAUCGGGCAGAACUCCGAUUGCGAAGGCAGCAUGCCGGCUCCACACUGACGCUGAGGCACGAAAGCGUGGGUAGCGAACAGGAUUAGAUACCCGUGUAGUC